RNAcentral lists this ribosomal RNA (453 nucleotides) under uncultured bacterium. Its description in RNAcentral is "bacterial SSU rRNA". It matches the Rfam family "Bacterial small subunit ribosomal RNA", at positions 350 to 793 of the family's 1533-position model. The record is from RNAcentral.
AGCAGUGGGGAAUAUUGCACAAUGGGGGAAACCCUGAUGCAGCCAUGCCGCGUGUGUGAAGAAGGCCUUCGGGUUGUAAAGCACUUUCAGUAGGGAGGAAGGUAGUGUAGUUAACACCUGCACUAUUUGACGUUACCUACAGAAGAAGCACCGGCUAACUCCGUGCCAGCAGCCGCGGUAAUACGGAGGGUGCGAGCGUUAAUCGGAAUUACUGGGCGUAAAGCGCAUGCAGGCGGCCUGUUAAGUCAGAUGUGAAAGCCCGGGGCUUAACCUCGGAAUUGCAUUUGAAACUGGCAGGCUAGAGUCUUGUAGAGGGGGGUAGGAAUUUCAGGUGUAGCGGUGAAAUGCGUAGAGAUCUGAAGGAAUACCAGUGGCGAAGGCGGCCCCCUGGACAAAGACUGACGCUCAGAUGCGAAAGCGUGGGGAGCAAACAGGAUUAGAUACCCCUGGUAG